UGAAGUUUAUUGCAAUGCUGCGAUUUACUUGCACAUUUUGGCCGAUUUUCAACUUGAUUUCUGCUCAUUACUUCACUAACCCGCG
Molecule: long non-coding RNA, 85 nt
Organism: Trachymyrmex cornetzi
Lineage: Eukaryota; Metazoa; Arthropoda; Insecta; Hymenoptera; Formicidae
Exons: 3
Source: RefSeq, a predicted model, not a curated record